Molecule: microRNA precursor, 84 nt
Filed under: Loxodonta africana (African savanna elephant)
Lineage: Eukaryota; Metazoa; Chordata; Mammalia; Proboscidea; Elephantidae
Description: mir-221 microRNA precursor family
Rfam family: mir-221 microRNA precursor family
Source: Rfam by way of RNAcentral
CCCCUCAAUGGCUCAGUAGCUAGUGUAGAUCCUGUCUUUUGUAAUCAGCAGCUACAUCUGGCUACUGGGUCUCUGAUGGCAUCU